UGCGUAGGGGGCGAGCGUUGUCCGGAUUUAUUGGGCGGAAAGAGCUUGUAGGCGGUUUGUCGCGUCUGCUGUGAAAUUUCGGGGCUCAACCCCGAACUUGCAGUGGGUACGGGCAGACUAGAGUGUGGUAGGGGAGACUGGAAUUCCUGGUGUAGCGGUGAAAUGCGCAGAUAUCAGGAGGAACACCUAUGGCGAAGGCAGCUCGCUGGGACGGUACUGACGCUGAGGCGCGAAAGCGUGGGGAGCGAACAGG
This 253-nucleotide ribosomal RNA is filed under the name uncultured bacterium. Its description in RNAcentral is "partial 16S ribosomal RNA". It matches the Rfam family "Bacterial small subunit ribosomal RNA", at positions 524 to 776 of the family's 1533-position model. The record is from RNAcentral.